GAUGAACGCUGGCGGCGUGCCUAAUACAUGCAAGUCGAGCGAACGGACGAGAAGCUUGCUUUUCUGAUGUUAGCGGCGGACGGGUGAGUAACACGUGGAUAACCUACCUAUAAGACUGGGAUAACUUCGGGAAACCGGAGCUAAUACCGGAUAAUAUUUUGAACCGCAUGGUUCAAUAGUGAAAGACGGUCUUGCUGUCACUUAUAGAUGGAUCCGCGCUGCAUUAGCUAGUUGGUAAGGUAACGGCUUACCAAGGCAACGAUGCCUAGCCGACCUGAGAGGGUGAUCGGCCACACUGGAACUGAGACACGGUCCAGACUCCUACGGGAGGCAGCAGUAGGGAAUCUUCCGCAAUGGGCGAAAGCCUGACGGAGCAACGCCGCGUGAGUGAUGAAGGUCUUCGGAUCGUAAAACUCUGUUAUUAGGGAAGAACAUAUGUGUAAGUAACUGUGCACAUCUUGACGGUACCUAAUCAGAAAGCCACGGCUAACUACGUG
RNAcentral lists this ribosomal RNA (497 nucleotides) under uncultured bacterium. RNAcentral describes it as "partial 16S ribosomal RNA". It matches the Rfam family "Bacterial small subunit ribosomal RNA", at positions 28 to 507 of the family's 1533-position model. The record is from RNAcentral.